UCUAACUCACACACUCUCUCUAACGAUUGCUCUCCCUUCUCUCUAUAACCUUCUAGUUCUCUCAUUCUUCUCCAACGAGCUUCAUCGCCUCUCCAGCCAUGCUCCUUCCUCACUUCUCUCGACCUCUAGCCACUAUGGUAUCCUAUAUCGUUGCUUCUCUCCAAGGUUUGAAGUCCCAGAAGCUUCCACCAUGAAGAUGGUCACUGAAGCCUCGCCGGGGUCUGUUUUUGGCCUUUCUCCGAUGGAAUUUGGUUCGAUGAUGCUGAAAACACCAUUAUCCUUGAGCUUCACAUCCAGGUUUCUCUUACCUCUCUCACUGGUUUCUUAUGAAACCCUAAUCUUAACCUAAACCUCUCAAAUCUCUGAUUCUCUUAAUGAUUUUAACUCGCGCCUUCAUGUUUUGCACUAUUUUUUACAAGUACUCCGUUUUUAAACAAUUUUUCUCCCUUUUGAAUCUAGGGUUUCUCACCCCCUUUUGAAAUCAUUUUACUUCUAACUAUUUUGCUCAGGUCUGAUAAAACCUUAGCCUUAUAUGUUUAUGUUUGUGUUAUUUGCUUAUUUUUGCAUUUCUUCUGGGUCUUCUCUAAGUCAUGUUCUUUGCUUUAACUUUGAUUACUAGUGUUUCAUUCUCCUACCAUGUUGUGUUCUCCGUUCAAAAUUUUUAUUACAUUUUGCAUGAUGACAUUAUACCGAUGCAUACAAGCCAUUUUUUCCAAUUGUGAUACUUGCCAUAUAAUUAGAUUCCCGAUAUUGUCCUUAUUAUUUGGGAUUAAUUUCAAAAUUUCUUCCUCAGUCUGUGGGAUACUUUCUUCAACUACUGUUGGUCUCCUAGGCUUUCAAUCUCAUUCCUUAUAUUUGGGGAUUAUUUCCCAAAUUUUGAGUAGUAUCCCGCCCUUAUGUGUUCAUGAGUAUGUUGAUUGAUUUUCCUAACAUGUUUCCUUAAUUAGACUAUCAUAUACCUAGUCUCUAUUGCAUACUAUGCUAUUCUAUUCCUUAUGUGAUCAUACCUUGUGAUUUCCUUCCUUUUAACAGUUGCUUAUUACCGUGUAACUUUGAUUCCUUAAUUAAAGGGUAGUUCUUCUACUCAUUUGAUUAUGAUUGAUGCUAGUUCCUUAAUUAGGGAUUGCUACCUUGUUUGUUUACUCGUUAUUCAGUAAAAUAAGUACCCUCCCCCAUUCUCUUUGCAAGACACCAACAUAUUGCAUAUCACUUGGCACACACAGACAGAAAUACACCCAGUGUUCUGAACUCUCUCUUUCACACAAACAUCUUUGUGCUCUUUGUCUCUACACAAUUUUCUUUCACUUUUCCUGUUGAAUGCUAAUCACUCAAUUGGUUGCAAGCCAAAAUUAAGUAAUCUUGGUCAAUUUCACUCUGUUGGCCUUUACUGUGUUACUUGCUUUGGGUCUGCCUGCUGCUCACUUCUUGCAUACUGCUGCUUUGCUCUCUGUUUCUCUCUGCCCUACCUGCACAAAAUUGCUCACUACUUCUCUGUGUUUAUAUUAUUUUUCAAUUGGUAUGUAUCUUAUUUAAGUUAGCCUAAAAAACAACAUGUUUCUAUUAUUGCUGCACUUUCUUUUGUUCCUUGUGUGCUUCUACUUAUGGUUCUACUGCUCCUAUUGCAACUAGCAUGCAUCUGUGUUAAUUAGUAAGCUGAAUUAGUAAGCCUAGCAUAUUCAUUAUCCCCUUGCCUACCCCAAUUCAUGUUUCCCCUUUUCUUUUGUAUACUACUAGCAUCCUCUUAGCUACUUCAUAGCCCAAACUUUUUUGAGGAUGAUUUGGUUUGGUGUCUAGUGCUAUAAGAACCCCUAUUUUGAAGCAUGAACCUUCCUGUGUGUGAUUGAUUGUCUUGUUUGUGAGCUGUUUGUUCCCUUUUCCUUUACUUUUGCCUGUGUGACUGUUGCUUUCAAAAACAGCCUCAAAGUAAUUGUUUUCAUGCUUAGUUAAAAAUUUUCACUCUUCUAUUAUUUUUCUCCAACUGUCCCUCAUGUAAAACUUUUUUCCAACUCAACUCCUUCAAACCCUAUCACAAUCACACUACACUUAUAAUUAUGUUCUGUCCCUUUGUGUAAGCAUUUCUUUGGGUACCUUGAGUACCCACUGAACUUUGAUGCACAAGGUCAGAAAUUCCACGCAUGCACUUAUCAAUGGUGAUUUGUUUUGGGUGCCUGGUGUUUGUCGGGGUAUCAGGAGACCCCUAGGGAACUUUGUCGCACCUAAACUCUUGGUGAAGGUUCUGUAGCUCGAAAGAAUUGAGGUUGGAGGUCUGGGCCUGGCUGAAGGCUCGCAAUAGAAUAGCUUCUUGUUUACUCUUCACUACUGUAAUUG
This 2328-nucleotide long non-coding RNA is filed under the name Nicotiana benthamiana. RNAcentral describes it as "long non-coding RNA (NBEN_LNC034218)". The record is from RNAcentral. Lineage: Eukaryota; Viridiplantae; Streptophyta; Magnoliopsida; Solanales; Solanaceae.